This is a long non-coding RNA of Humulus lupulus (European hop), 620 nucleotides long. RefSeq lists it as uncharacterized. The transcript is spliced from 6 exons. The record is from RefSeq and is a predicted model, not a curated record. Lineage: Eukaryota; Viridiplantae; Streptophyta; Magnoliopsida; Rosales; Cannabaceae.
AUUUUCUCGGCACACAAAGAAGGAAGACUCAGCAACAAAUUAGGAUUUGGGGAUUAGGGUUCUUGUUGUCCACCAUGAAAGAAGCUUGAAGGUGAUAGGCGAUCAAUCUAAUUGUUGAGGUUCAGAAGCUUCCAAUUUUUGCACCAUUAGAUAAUAGGACGACCAUCAAGGAGACCAUCCAUGAUGCAUUUGAGAUGUAUUUCCCAUAAAGAAUGAAAGCACGUAAAAUUAUCAACAAAUGCCCAGCGGGAGUAAUGUAUUUCCAACCUACGUGUCGUAAAUAAUCAAAUAAUAUCGACUACGGAGAUUAUGUUAUGAGGAUGAUGAAGAAUGUACUUAUAAAUGCCCCUCAUAUCAAACCUUUCUUAUCGAAACAGUUCACCUCUGACAAACCAUAUACUACUCAAGAAAUUGACGAAGUUCGAGAAGAAUGGACGAUUUCAUUUUUACAAUUGGGUAUCACCAAGAAACUGAACCGACCUUCAAUUUUCUUCACAGCCUUCCAAAGAAUCCUUAGAAUCACCUAGACUAGAGUGGGCAAUUCUCAACACAUGAGAUAGAUACAAAGAGAAGAAGAAUAGAAGAAAAAAAUUGUGGCUUAGAAAAAGACUUAUGUUGUA